This is a long non-coding RNA of Oryzias javanicus (javanese ricefish), 2105 nucleotides long. Lineage: Eukaryota; Metazoa; Chordata; Actinopteri; Beloniformes; Adrianichthyidae. The record is from Ensembl.
AACCCCAUUUUAAUCCAUGAACUCCCACUAAGCCCCUCCCUCCUCUGUCCCCUUUGGCUGGGUUUUUCUAGGUGCCCAGCUGCAUCACCUGACCCAGGUGGGUCUGUGCAGUCAGAUCGGCUCCUACCACGGCGUGGGAGUGGGCCGCAGCAUGUCCGGGCCCACGGGCUCCAGCUGGCACCAGCAGCAUUCGGACCAGGACCUCUCCAGACCAGGAGCCAGCAGAGAGAGUGGUCCAUCUCUGGGUGCGUCCAGCUCCUCAGAGGUCCAUCGUUUCGUACGUCAGACUCACAUCUUCACUGAAGUGCUUCCUGCCGUGGAUCCUUCUAUGACAACCUUUUCUAGACUUCAGUUGCAUUCUGUCUGUCUGGAAUGUGGACUCCACUCCGUCCUCCUGGCUCCAGAUUUUGGACUGGGUUCCGAUGAGAGUCGUCAUUCCGGACCUUCUGCAGUGACGGGUUCCUCCAGAAUCCAAAGCUCUGAGGGGUCCAGUUCCUCCAGAUCUUCUGUGGUGCUAACCAUCAGCCUCAUUCCAUCUCAUUGACCACUUACUGCCUUCCACUGUCCCUCAGCCACAUCGAUCAGGGCUCAGAAACUGUCCUGGUGGGGUCACCAUAGACCCCUCCAACAGCAUCACGUCAACCGUAAACAUGAUCGAUAUAAAUAUAUACAUAUAGAUAUAUAAAUGGAGAGAAAAUAUUCUUUAGUAUGAUUCAAAUCUAUGUAAAGAGAAGUUUCCAAUGAGCACAAUGUAAAUGUAGACGGAGUGUCUUCAUCAGAACCUUCUGUGACCCGCUUGAUCCGGGUCAGACGGGUCCGUUCUCUGCUUGCUCCUGCUGUGUUUCAGUUUGCUUUAGGUGCCCGUUGCUUUGCAUCUCUGCUUGUGAUCGUGUUGUCAUGGUAACGGCUGGCGCUUUGCCAUUGGGCUUCCUGUUGCUGUUCAGUUGCAUUCAUGCGUCUGUGGGGGGCGCUGCAGAGGUCUGCGGGUGUUUGGGGGUCAUACCUGUUUCACCCCCCGUGGGUUGGGGGGGUGGGGGUGAGGGCAGGAAGGCUCUUCUGAUGGGGCUGGAGAUUCUGUGAUGGUCGGUCCCCCCCACCCCAGACGCCCCCUCACACCUGCGCUCUUCAUCAUCCACCAGAGGAGGCGUGUCGGCCGGCCGGCCCCUGGUCUGGGACUGGCUGCAGCGUUCUCGGGGGGAGGGGGGUCAUUUCCGUCAGCAUGUCAGCUCAGUUUGAGGCUCUAGCUGCUCUCGAUGUUCCUGUCGUUGUUCAGCAUGCUGCUCAGAAGCGCUUGUGUGUAAACGUGAGGAUGACCAGCUUGAAGAACGUCUCCACGUCUCAGCCAGACUCGUGGUCCUCCACCUUCCUCCAGGUGUGGAAACUGGCCCAAGAACAGUCUGCUGAUUGGUCCUGGUCUGUGUCAAUCAUCCAAUGAGACCUGGUCCUGCCCGAAGGACCACGUGGUGCUACAGGAGAGACCGGGACGGCGCGGGUCCUGCAGGUCGCGCCUGCUGCUCUGCUGGGUCGUCCAGCGAAUGUUUCUGCUACAAACCUCGAGGACGGAGCGGAUGAGCGUGGCGCCAUGAAGCGGCGCCGGAUGAGGCGCUCUCGACUCGCGCGGGAGCAGGUGGCUCCCCCGAUCAGCUGUUGUUGUCCCAUCGCUUUCCAGUUUCACGUGAGUCUGAACUGAUUUCUUCACACUGUGCUGAGGCCACGCCCUCGCCAGGUGAGCCUGACCUAUGACCCGGAUGAAGUCCAGAGCCAGGUCAGCUCGCCUCAGUCCAGGUUCCAUGAGUGAUCCACUGAACGUGAAGGUGUGGGGGCUGUCAUCGGGACACCGCCCGCCAGGUGAGGGUCACCUGAGCGGACCGUCCCACUGAGUCUGUCAGCUGUUUCCUGUGGUGUUUGAAUUCUGAUUGUACUGAACAUUAAAGAGACGUGUUCAGAACCAACCGGACUCUGUCUUCACUGAGAUCUCCGCUCUACCACAGCACCCCGGAUGGGGCUUAAACGUUUUUACCAAUCCCUAAAUUCAACUGUAAUGCCUCACUACAGACGCUCCAGACUUUAUUUUCAAGAAUUAAACAAGUUUCUCAUAAAUUUGU